Molecule: ribosomal RNA, 1369 nt
Filed under: uncultured bacterium
Lineage: Bacteria
Description: bacterial SSU rRNA
Rfam family: Bacterial small subunit ribosomal RNA
Source: RNAcentral
GACGAACGCUGGCGGCGUGCCUAAUACAUGCAAGUAGAACGCUGAAGAGAGGAGCUUGCUCUUCUUGGAUGAGUUGCGAACGGGUGAGUAACGCGUAGGUAACCUGCCUGGUAGCGGGGGAUAACUAUUGGAAACGAUAGCUAAUACCGCAUAAAAUUGAUUAUUGCAUGAUAAUUAAUUGAAAGAUGCAAUUGCAUCACUACCAGAUGGACCUGCGUUGUAUUAGCUAGUUGGUGAGGUAACGGCUCACCAAGGCGACGAUACAUAGCCGACCUGAGAGGGUGAUCGGCCACACUGGGACUGAGACACGGCCCAGACUCCUACGGGAGGCAGCAGUAGGGAAUCUUCGGCAAUGGGGGGAACCCUGACCGAGCAACGCCGCGUGAGUGAAGAAGGUUUUCGGAUCGUAAAGCUCUGUUGUAAGAGAAGAACGGGUGUGAGAGUGGAAAGUUCACACUGUGACGGUAUCUUACCAGAAAGGGACGGCUAACUACGUGCCAGCAGCCGCGGUAAUACGUAGGUCCCGAGCGUUGUCCGGAUUUAUUGGGCGUAAAGCGAGCGCAGGCGGUUAGAUAAGUCUGAAGUUAAAGGCUGUGGCUUAACCAUAGUAUGCUUUGGAAACUGUUUAACUUGAGUGCAGAAGGGGAGAGUGGAAUUCCAUGUGUAGCGGUGAAACGCGUAGAUAUAUGGAGGAACACCGGUGGCGAAAGCGGCUCUCUGGUCUGUAACUGACGCUGAGGCUCGAAAGCGUGGGGAGCAAACAGGAUUAGAUACCCCGGUAGUCCACGCCGUAAACGAUGAGUGCUAGGUGUUAGGCCCUUUCCGGGGCUUAGUGCCGCAGCUAACGCAUUAAGCACUCCGCCUGGGGAGUACGACCGCAAGGUUGAAACUCAAAGGAAUUGACGGGGGCCCGCACAAGCGGUGGAGCAUGUGGUUUAAUUCGAAGCAACGCGAAGAACCUUACCAGGUCUUGACAUCCCUCUGACCGCUCUAGAGAUAGAGUUUUCCUUCGGGACAGAGGUGACAGGUGGUGCAUGGUUGUCGUCAGCUCGUGUCGUGAGAUGUUGGGUUAAGUCCCGCAACGAGCGCAACCCCUAUUGUUAGUUGCCAUCAUUCAGUUGGGCACUCUAGCGAGACUGCCGGUAAUAAACCGGAGGAAGGUGGGGAUGACGUCAAAUCAUCAUGCCCCUUAUGACCUGGGCUACACACGUGCUACAAUGGCUGGUACAACGAGUCGCAAGCCGGUGACGGCAAGCUAAUCUCUGAAAGCCAGUCUCAGUUCGGAUUGUAGGCUGCAACUCGCCUACAUGAAGUCGGAAUCGCUAGUAAUCGCGGAUCAGCACGCCGCGGUGAAUACGUUCCCGGGCCU